Molecule: transfer RNA, 83 nt
Filed under: Microbacterium sp. GCS4
Lineage: Bacteria; Bacillati; Actinomycetota; Actinomycetes; Micrococcales; Microbacteriaceae
Also listed under: 5 other names
Description: tRNA-Leu
Rfam family: tRNA
About the family: Transfer RNA (tRNA) molecules are approximately 80 nucleotides in length. Their secondary structure includes four short double-helical elements and three loops (D, anti-codon, and T loops).
Source: RNAcentral
GCGCGGGUGGCGGAAUGGUAGACGCGCUACGUUGAGGUCGUAGUGCCCGAUAGGGCGUGGGGGUUCAAGUCCCCCUCCGCGCA